Molecule: non-coding RNA, 379 nt
Organism: Lonchura striata (white-rumped munia)
Lineage: Eukaryota; Metazoa; Chordata; Aves; Passeriformes; Estrildidae
Source: RefSeq, a predicted model, not a curated record
UCUAGGACCAGUGCAGUGCAAGAAGGCAGCGGUGCUUGCAAGACUCCUUACAUCUUGGCCCAACACAAGCUGCUACCUCAUGAGAAGGAACUCCAGAAGUCCCUGAGCACCUCUCUCCUGUGGGUUUGAUUCCUCUAACACUUUCCUAUCUCUUGGUAGCUGAGAAAUUUCAGAGCAGCUGCUAGCCUGGGCACCUCAGAAGCCUGCUGCUCCUCAUAAUCCCAGGAAAUGAUGCUCUGAUUAAUGGGAAAGAAGGGUGACUGUGUUAAAUGGAGCUCAUCUUCACCUCAUCUGAAAGGAGGUUUCCCACAGUGUAUCUGUAUCAUGUAUCUGUGUUGGCAAUUUCUCACAUCCUACAAAGCUAAUGCCUCAGAAAGUC